RNAcentral lists this unclassified non-coding RNA (530 nucleotides) under Hevea brasiliensis (rubber tree). Lineage: Eukaryota; Viridiplantae; Streptophyta; Magnoliopsida; Malpighiales; Euphorbiaceae. The record is from RNAcentral.
UCAUUAUCACUUAAUUGAAGCAACUGAGGCAGCUAAACCUGUGCUUGGGAAAUAUUACCGGGAGCUAGAGAAGUCAGGGCCUUUACCUUUUCACCUAAUUGGAAAUUUGAUAAGAAGCUUGAAGAAAGAUCACUACGUUAGUGACACUGGAGAUGUUGUGUACUAUCAGAGUGAUCCUCAACUCAGUGGCUCAUCAUCAGAGUAAAUUCUGAAUGUCCUCCUGGGCUGAGUUCUCACUUGAUUUUCAAGCUCUCCCUAGUAGAUUUCUUGGCUUAGCUAAGGAAAAUUAUUUGAGCUGUAUUAAGGAAAAUUAUUUUCCCCCAGAGUUGCUGAUGCCUAGUAAAGAUCAUCAUCAUGGUGAGUGUGAUCAGCGAUGCUUGCAGAAGAUGAUAGCAGCCUCUAUUUUUAGUCUAAGGCUAGGGAUAUAUGCAGGGUAUUUUCACAUAUGGACUGUAAUUCUGAGGUAAAGAGUGUAGCAUUUGUUGUUCUUGAAGAGGAAAUCAUCUCUUCAACAAAUUACAUCAUGUACU